UACAGAGGGUGCAAACGUUGCUCGGAAUUAUUGGGCGUAAAGCGCAUGUAGGCGGCACGGUAAGUCGACUGUGAAAGCCCUUGGCUCAACCAAGGAAGUGCAGUCGAAACUGCCGAGCUCGAGUUCUGAAGAGGGUCGCGGAAUGGCCAGUGUAGAGGUGAAAUUCGUAGAUAUUAGGAAGAACACCGGUGGCGAAGGCGGCCCACUGGCUCGAUACUGACGCUGAGGUGCGAAAGCGUGGGGAGCAAACAGG
Molecule: ribosomal RNA, 253 nt
Filed under: uncultured bacterium
Lineage: Bacteria
Description: partial 16S ribosomal RNA
Rfam family: Bacterial small subunit ribosomal RNA
Source: RNAcentral